GACGAACCGUGCGAACGUUGUUCGGAAUAACUGGGCUUAAAGGGCGCGUAGGCGGGCUGACAAGUCUGGGGUGAAAUCCCACGGCUCAACCGUGGAACUGCCUCAGAUACUGUCGGCCUCGAGGGAGGUAGGGGCGUGCGAAACUAACGGUGGAGCGGUGAAAUGCGUUGAUAUCGUUAGGAACUCCGGUGGCGAAAGCGGCGCGCUGGACCUCUUCUGACGCUGAGGCGCGAAAGCUAGGGGAGCAAACGGG
Molecule: ribosomal RNA, 253 nt
Filed under: uncultured bacterium
Lineage: Bacteria
Description: partial 16S ribosomal RNA
Rfam family: Bacterial small subunit ribosomal RNA
Source: RNAcentral